UACGGAGGGAGCAAGCGUUAAUCGGAAUUACUGGGCGUAAAGCGCACGCAGGCGGCUUGUUAAGUCAGAUGUGAAAUCCCCGGGCUCAACCUGGGAACUGCAUCUGAUACUGCCAAGCUUGAGUCCCGGAGAGGGGGGUAGAAUUCCAGGUGUAGCGGUGAAAUGCGUAGAGAUCUGGAGGAACACCGGUGGCGAAGGCGGCCCCCUGGACGAAGACUGACGCUCAGGUGCGAAAGCGUGGGGAGCAAACAGG
This 253-nucleotide ribosomal RNA is filed under the name uncultured bacterium. Its description in RNAcentral is "partial 16S ribosomal RNA". It matches the Rfam family "Bacterial small subunit ribosomal RNA", at positions 524 to 776 of the family's 1533-position model. The record is from RNAcentral.